Pelobates cultripes (western spadefoot toad) is the source of this 114-nucleotide non-coding RNA. The record is from the annotation of a GenBank genome assembly. Lineage: Eukaryota; Metazoa; Chordata; Amphibia; Anura; Pelobatidae.
CGGUCCACAAUGCUUUGUGAAAUAAGCUUGACACGUUUCGUCUUGUCCAGACUUUCUCAGAAGCGCAAAACAUGUCAAGCUUAUUUCAUAAAGCAGUGUUGAUUGUUUUUAGGU